This 433-nucleotide long non-coding RNA is filed under the name Limulus polyphemus (Atlantic horseshoe crab). RNAcentral describes it as "uncharacterized LOC111089034, transcript variant X1". Lineage: Eukaryota; Metazoa; Arthropoda; Merostomata; Xiphosura; Limulidae. The record is from RNAcentral.
GGCUUAUGGCCUUGAGCGUUCACAUGGGCUUUGUUUGAGUAAACUGGUUAUAGCAGCUGUUAGUUGAAAUCUCGUUGGAGAUCAAGAGAAUUACGUAGCUCGACAACGUUAUGGAAGACACCAGAAAUACUCGGGAAACGUGACCUGAUUUCGAGAAAGAAAAGUCAGAGGAGAAAAACCUUGCUGAUUUGGAGAAACGAGAGUCAGAGAAGGAUAAACAUGAUCUGAUCUGGAGGAAAAAAUAAUCAGUAUAGUGAGACCAGCAAUGUAAAAAAUAAGCAUAAAUAUUUAAUAAGACAAAAAUUAAUGUUAUCUGAAUCAAAUGUUUAGAUUUGUUAAUAUACACCACGAUUUUUUUUAUAUUCAGUUAAAAUGUAAUUUGUCAGAAUAAAUUCGUCAAGAAACCAGGGUAACCAUUGGAAAUACAACUCCA